Molecule: ribosomal RNA, 263 nt
Filed under: Enterobacter hormaechei
Lineage: Bacteria; Pseudomonadati; Pseudomonadota; Gammaproteobacteria; Enterobacterales; Enterobacteriaceae
Description: partial 23S ribosomal RNA
Rfam family: Bacterial large subunit ribosomal RNA
Source: RNAcentral
GGGGCUGCUCCUAGUACGAGAGGACCGGAGUGGACGCAUCACUGGUGUUCGGGUUGUCAUGCCAAUGGCACUGCCCGGUAGCUAAAUGCGGAAGAGAUAAGUGCUGAAAGCAUCUAAGCACGAAACUUGCCCCGAGAUGAGUUCUCCCUGAGACUUUAAGUCUCCUGAAGGAACGUUGAAGACGACGACGUUGAUAGGUCGGGUGUGUAAGCGCAGCGAUGCGUUGAGCUAACCGAUACUAAUGAACCGUGAGGCUUAACCUU